Molecule: ribosomal RNA, 440 nt
Filed under: uncultured bacterium
Lineage: Bacteria
Description: partial 16S ribosomal RNA
Rfam family: Bacterial small subunit ribosomal RNA
Source: RNAcentral
CCUACGGGAGGCAGCAGUAGGGAAUAUUGCUCAAUGGGGGAAACCCUGAAGCAGCAACGCCGCGUGGAGGAUGAAGGUUUUCGGAUUGUAAACUCCUUUUGUUAGAGAAGAUAAUGACGGUAUGUAACGAAUAAGCACCGGCUAACUCCGUGCCAGCAGCCGCGGUACUACGGCGGGUGCAAGCGUUACUCGGAAUCACUGGGCGUAAAGAGCGCGUAGGCGGGAUAGCAAGUCAGAUGUGAAAUCCUAUGGCUUAACCAUAGAACUGCAUUUGAAACUGUUAUUCUAGAGUAUGGGAGAGGUAGGUGGAAUUCUUGGUGUAGGGGUAAAAUCCGUAGAGAUCAAGAGGAAUACUCAUUGCGAAGGCGACCUGCUAGAACAUAUCUGACGCUGAUGCGCGAAAGCGUGGGGAGCAAACAGGAUUAGAUACCCCAGUAGUC